AACGAACGCUGGCGGCAUGCCUAACACAUGCAAGUCGAACGAGAUCUUCGGGUCUAGUGGCGCACGGGUGCGUAACGCGUGGGAAUCUGCCCUUUGGUUCGGAAUAACAGUUGGAAACGACUGCUAAUACCGGAUGAUGACGAAAGUCCAAAGAUUUAUCGCCAGAGGAUGAGCCCGCGUAGGAUUAGCUAGUUGGUGUGGUAAAGGCGCACCAAGGCGACGAUCCUUAGCUGGUCUGAGAGGAUGAUCAGCCACACUGGGACUGAGACACGGCCCAGACUCCUACGGGAGGAAGAAGGGGGGAAUAUGGAACAAUGGGGGAAAGCCUGAUCCAGAAGUGCCGCGUGAGUGAUAAAGGCCUUAGGGUUGUAAAGCUUUUUUACCCGGGAUGAUAAUGACAGAACGGGGAGAAUAAGCUCCGGCUAACUCCGUGCCAGCCGCCGCCGUAA
Molecule: ribosomal RNA, 449 nt
Filed under: uncultured bacterium
Lineage: Bacteria
Description: partial 16S ribosomal RNA
Rfam family: Bacterial small subunit ribosomal RNA
Source: RNAcentral